This 342-nucleotide ribosomal RNA is filed under the name uncultured fungus. RNAcentral describes it as "SSU rRNA". It matches the Rfam family "Eukaryotic small subunit ribosomal RNA", at positions 292 to 636 of the family's 1831-position model. Lineage: Eukaryota; Fungi. The record is from RNAcentral.
GGUUCAUUCAAAUUUCUGCCCUAUCAACUUUCGACGGCUGGGUCUUGGCCAGCCGUGGUGACAACGGGUAACGGAGGGUAGGGCUCGACCCCGGAGAAGGAGCCUGAGAAACGGCUACUACAUCCAAGGAAGGCAGCAGGCGCGCAAAUUACCCAAUCCCGACCGGGGAGGUAGUGACAAUAAAUACUGAUACAGGGCUCUUUCGGGUCUUGUAAUUGGAAUGAGUACAAUUUAAAUCCCUUAACGAGGAACAAUUGGAGGGCAAGUCUGGUGCCAGCAGCCGCGGUAAUUCCAGCUCCAAUAGCGUAUAUUAAAGUUGUGAGGUUAAAAAGCUCGUAGUUG